Molecule: long non-coding RNA, 1744 nt
Filed under: Olea europaea subsp. europaea
Lineage: Eukaryota; Viridiplantae; Streptophyta; Magnoliopsida; Lamiales; Oleaceae
Source: RNAcentral
CGCUAUUAUCUUUUCAUCUUAUCUUUUUCUUCUUCCUUCCUUUUUUAUCACUUACUUUCUCUCUUGUGUGUUCUUAUAUAAUAUGUAAUAUAUGAAAAACUUGUCGAUGUCAUAUGAGAAGAGAAAGAAGUUCUAUUUAUAUGGGGACAAAGAAGAAGUUAGAACUAGAUUCCAAAAUCUAAUUGAACAAAUUUUGAUUUCUUGAUGAGUGUGGUCCUCAAAGAAGCUAGUGGCUUUCACUAAAGAUUGCCUCUAGAUGUGCUGAGUAAGAAUACUUGAGAAUUAACCUUGGAAAACACCAAGUUAAACAAAGAUUAAUAAUGAGGUAAAUAUAAAAAUUUAAAAAUUAACUAUAAAGAUUGAGAAUAAAAGUGUAAUACUCAUUUUCUCCAUAACAAGAUGCAACAAUUGUGGGUAAAUUAGGUCUCGGAUUUAUGGCCAAAAUCUACAAGGUAACACCAUAUAAGUUGGACCUAAAGAUUACUUCAAGUAACCCCACACAAAGUAGAGAUUGAAUCCCACGAAGAAGAGGACUUGAAAAUGAAGCAAUGAAAGAGACAGAGCAACAGUGAAUGCAACGAGUGGAAGGUCGAUGAAGGAGAGAACCAGAGAACAAGAAAGCUUCUCUCGAAAAAUAUAAGCCACAUAAGCUUAGUGCUUGUUUUUGUCUUGCUUGAAUCAUCCCCAAAAAAGAACUACUAUUUAUAGGGGUUAAUUAGGAUUUAGGUCGACUACAUAAAACCCUAAAGUGCGUGUGGGCCGACACGAAUGACGUCACUAAGCAAUGGGUCAAAGCCUAAUAAAUCCUAUAAGUGACAACUAAAGAUCUUUGGUCUGUCUUUGUACCUUGGGCUAUCAAUUAAGGACUUGGGACAAUAAUGUAUUCAAUCCAAGGCUUCUAAAGCCUAUGAAUAAUAAAGCCAACCCGAUUAAUCAUCAUAGUCCCUAGUUUAUUUGGUAUCAAAAUACUCAACAAACCUCCAAACUUUGAUGCUAAAUACACCUUCAAGACUAAAAGGGAAGAAAAUAGCUUAGUAAGUACAAAAUCUGAUUUCAAACAAAAUGGAAGCGCCACAUACAUUUAUCAAUGUUUAGAAGUAUAAGCCAACUCUUAAAUUUUACCAGAAGAAGCACUUUAGUGCCCAUAUCGAUAGGAUUAUAAUCUAAAUGCACUUUUUCAAGCUUUAUCAAAUUUUGAGAUAUUAUAUAUCUAAUAAAAUAUAGUCUAACAUAAACAUGUUUAGUAUUCUCUUGAAACUUGGGGCUUUUGCAUAGAUGAAUAAUAGAUUGAUUACCAAAGUAUACAAUCACAUUAUCACUUAAAAAACACAUAACUCAUUAAGGGAUAGAGAAACAAUAUUUUGGAAUUGUGACUUUCAACUAAGACAAGAAUCACACAAAGUGAACACAUAAGAGAAAUUGGACUAACUAUUGUAUCUAUCUCAAUAAUAAUCAACAUCAAUAAAACUAUUUAGCCCCGUUUGGCCCCCAUUUCUUUGGACAUGAAAUGGGUGGAAUAGUGUUUUUUUUUUUUUUUUUGAAAAGUGAGUGGUUGAAAAAGAAGGAAAAUUUUUCGAUUUACGUGUAAUAAGUGAGAGAAAAAUGGAAUGUAAUUAAAUGAAAAUUAAUGGGGGCAAAACGGGGGCUUAGUUUCACACCCUCAAAAACAAAUUUAUAAACUAUCCCCUCCUUACAAGUAUCCUUCAAAUACCUCAGCAACCACUUUAAAGUCUUCCAAUGUUUG